UGAGGAAUAUUGGACAAUGGAGGCAACUCUGAUCCAGCCAUGCCGCGUGAAGGACUAAGGCCCUAUGGGCUGUAAACUUCUUUAGACGCAGAGCAAUAAGGGCCACGUGUGGUCCGAUGAGAGUAUGCGUAGAAUAAGCAUCGGCUAACUCCGUGCCAGCAGCCGCGGUAAUACGGGGGAUGCGAGCGUUAUCCGGAUUCAUUGGGUUUAAAGGGUGCGUAGGUGGCCAUUUAAGUCAGCGGUGAAAGUUUGUGGCUCAACCAUAAAAUUGCCGUUGAAACUGGAGGGCUUGAGUAUGUUUGGGGCAGGCGGAAUGUGUGGUGUAGCGGUGAAAUGCAUAGAUAU
This 345-nucleotide ribosomal RNA is filed under the name uncultured bacterium. RNAcentral's name for it is "bacterial SSU rRNA". It matches the Rfam family "Bacterial small subunit ribosomal RNA", at positions 355 to 697 of the family's 1533-position model. The record is from RNAcentral.